UUAGCGUGAUCUCGGGUGCGUGGCUGU
This 27-nucleotide non-coding RNA is filed under the name Mus musculus (house mouse). The record is from RNAcentral. Lineage: Eukaryota; Metazoa; Chordata; Mammalia; Rodentia; Muridae.